Molecule: long non-coding RNA, 287 nt
Organism: Pseudopipra pipra
Lineage: Eukaryota; Metazoa; Chordata; Aves; Passeriformes; Pipridae
Exons: 2
Source: RefSeq, a predicted model, not a curated record
GUUCGGCGGCGGAGGUGGAAGCGGCGCUGGAGCGGCGGGAGCCGGGGCGAGAUCGGCGCCCGGGGCUGCAGAGAUACCCAGGAGCGGAUUUAGGCAGAGGCAGCAGAAAGCUGAGGCAGAGGCAGCAGAAAGCUGAGAACCUGGAGCUCAGGCAGCAGAGCUGGUGGAGACAUAAAGACGGUAGGACUGUGGGCAGAACAAGAGUGGGGCUGGAUUAGGGAGCAUGGACCUGGCAUAAGUACUGCAGGGAUGGAGCUGGGAUAAAAAUAGUCAGGCCUGGCCUGGAA